AGUUUCGGCCGCUAUUGCUUUGAAAGGACUCGGUGCUAUUCUAUUUGUAUUUGGCUAUGGCUUUGGAGUCUUCCUCCUGGUGAGAUUUUUGUCUACUUGUUGUUAG
Long non-coding RNA from Hibiscus syriacus, 106 nucleotides. RefSeq lists it as uncharacterized. The transcript is spliced from 3 exons. The record is from RefSeq and is a predicted model, not a curated record. NCBI's taxonomy places the organism in Eukaryota, Viridiplantae, Streptophyta, Magnoliopsida, Malvales, Malvaceae.